CGCCUCAGCCCCCCUCCCACGGCCCUCGGCUCCGCGCUGGGCUCCCCCAGGCCCCGCCGCCCCCGCCCCCCGGGAACUGCUCCCCGCCCGGGCCCUCUAGCGCCCGGCCCCCAACCCCCGGCUACAGCGCAGCCCACGCGCCGCCGGCCGCAAGCGUAGAGCGACAGUGCCAUCUCGUGCCUGUCGCUGGCACUGCGGGCCCGGCCGGAGCAGCAGCAGGAAGACCGCGGACAGGGCGUGGGGCGAGGGGGUCCAGGCAGGACCAUUUCCCCUCCUCCCCCAAGCCGCAGAGCCUUUAAAAGAGCCCUGUAUCCUUUGCAGCGCCGACGUUUCCAGCACGCGGGCGGCGACCCCCGUCGGCACCCACCAGUCGAGACGUUCUUUGCAAGUCGGACUGCCUCCGUUUUCCAGUGCAAACGCUCCUGCUUAGCGGAAGCGGUCGGGGCCUCCUCGCCAGGGAAGAGCAUCGACUCCCCUCGCGUUUGCACCACCCGGUGAAGUUGUUACUACGUGGCAUCAUACACACAGGGAGAGAAACCCUCCUGCUGGCCUCCUCCACCCGAGGUCAGCCCCUGGCUGCUUCCCAAAUAGCUGGUGGGAAGAACAGUGUGGGUGGAGGGAGAUGUCGCAUCAAUCAAUAGCGGCUAAACCGCUUCCCAGCACGGCCUGGGAGUGACCGGAGGAUGCUGGAUGCCCCAGGUGGGCAGGGCGUGAGUGCAGGCUCCGAGGGGGCACCGGGGAGCAAGUUUCCAGUGCCGGGCAGGACAAGACCAGCAGUGAGAAACAGGCGUCGCAGCGCGCACGAGCCAGGCAGGCGCUGCUCUCAGUGCUUUCCCUGGCUUGUUUUCUUAUGGUUGUAAAAUACACGUAACAUAAAAUUUACCAUUUUAACCAUUUUAAAGUGUACAACUGAGUGGCAUUUAGUACAUUUACGAUGCUGUGCAACCAACAUCGAUAUCCAGUUCCGGAACUUUCUCAUCACCGCAGAAACCCUGUAGCCUGCUACUCCCCAUUCUCCCUCCCCCCCAGCCGCUGGCAGCCACCAAACUCUGUUCUGUCUCCAUGGCUGCGCCUCUUCUGGACGAUUCCGGUACGUGGGAGCACCACGUCGAGCUGGGUCACCCCAGUUCUUCACAGUGGACACUUCUCAGUAAGGCGGGAGGUCUCCGUUAAGCAUCUGAGCAGCAGACUCAGGAAAGCGCAAAGCGGAGCAUCGUUGAUGAAUUUUCUAACGCCCCCUUCAGCGUGGCCCAGCGGCAUCGUGGCCGCGCCCUGGAGGAGGAAACGAGGCCAUCACAGCUCAGCUGCGGCGAUGGGCACGCCUCAACUGCUGGCCUGUCGAAUGUGAUCAUCCUGGUCUUACUGUCUGUUAGGACCUUCCAGGGUGACAGCCCAUUUAACCAGCGCAGUAAAACUGGGGGUGGGGGGCAUUAUCACCCCCGUUUUACAGAGAAGGAAACUGACAGCCAGGAGUUCAAUCAGUUUUCUCCAAGUCUUUAAAAAUGGCAGAGUUGGGGUUUGAACCAAGACCAAGCCGUCCCCAAAGCCCUCUCUGAGCCACCCCGGGGAUCUUCCCUCCUCUCUUCAGAAGGCUGUUCCUGAUGUCAGGGCGGAGAGCUGCCUGCCGGACAGAUGAGCCCUGUCCCUCGGUCACAGCCACCUGGCGAGCUGCUCUCAGACGAGCCACCUCGCUGGCAGGCUCAUACCGUCGUUAACUGCUGGACACCUUGAACUUGACCAGGGAAAGCAACCUGAGCCAUUUGGACUGAUAUGGAACCGCACACCCAGAAACCGACCGGCUGGGAGAGCAGGGACCCGCUGAAAGCACUCAGGACCCCACCGUGAACGCGUGUGCGUUAGAGAUGCCGAGGGGCUGGGCUCGCGGCAGCCACCAGGCAGCGCCAGCACCUGGUCUGGGGCACAGGAUGCCACAGACUUUAUUACAUCUUAUUAAAUGUUAAAGUCCCCUGGGGAAGGCGACCUCGGAACCACAGCAUCUGAAGUUCAUUGCGAUCAUCUCCUUGACAUUUACAAAUUCAUAAUGUAUAAUGAACUAACCUGAAGUGGAACUCUUUAAUUAAUUGCAUGAAACAGAGAGUGUAUAUUAAAAAUGAAUAAAUAAGACAAACAAGGUUGAGUUUGCAGACCUCGAGUAAACUGGCUGUGGAAGGAGCCUUCGCACACGUGGCUCGGACUUGAGGGCUGGCCGGGGCCUGAGUCCCGGAGAGCCCCACGCAUCCACUCCUCAGGGGCGGGUCCCGGACGGCGUGUGAGCUCCCUCCACGACCAUGGACACUGUUUGUAGGACACCUUCGUGAUGUCUGCUGCCGGUUUCAGAAACAGGAGUCUCUGAGUUGGAGAUGCCGUGUUGCCUGAGUCCCCAAGAGACACUGGGGCAUCUGGGGCACUCGAGGACGCACCGUGCACAAGUGGCAGAGCCCAGAUGUGAACUCAAUCCAUGUCUUCCCGCUCCUGCCCUCAGCUUCUGCUCUGUGAUUUACACAACAAAACUCACCGUCCAUCCCUAGAUAUGGAUGCUCCGAGCAUGGUGCCGGCCAGGGGCUGACCCUGAGGCCACGGCUGCUUGGCCACUGCCACCCCCAGGUUCCCCUCCGCCCCUGGGGCCUCCCGGUGCUGUGCCAGGAGCCCUCGCCCCUGUGCAAGCGAGGCCAAACUUGCAGGGCUUUCUGGAGAGCUCAUGCAGCUCCAAGGAGAGGCUGUGAACAGCAAGAGUAGCCGCUCCAAGCCGUGCUGACAGCUCCUUGGGAACGAAGGCCCUGAUUACAUAACGAGGCUGCCUGGGGAAGGAAGACGGUGCCUGCUUAGGGUUUUGCAAAAGGAAAAAGAGAGACAGUUAAAUCUGCCCUGCUCACGCCUCACGCGUUCCUUCUUCAGGCAGUUGUUAUGGAGCCCGAGGCGGCACCGGGCCCUGCUGGAGGCACCAGGGAUGUGAGAGAGUCGGACCAAAUUCCCUGUUCCUGGGAUGCUGACAUGCUAGUGAGGGAGAAAGACCACAAACCAAAUAAACAGAUGAGCAAGCUGAGGCAUGCCCGUUGCCCAAGGUCACACAGCUCCUAAGUGGCAGGACCUGGACCGGAACCCACGUAUCCUGGCUCUGGAGUCCGUGUGCUGAACGCCUUCCCUCCUCUGCAGGUAGGGCAUGAGGGUGUGACAGAGCUCGGCCAACUGCACUCGGAAUCGGGAGCUACCAGCCCGAAGAAGCAGGGACAGAAGCCCGUCUGGUGGCAGAGCUGUGUCCAGCGUCCAGGGGCAUCAGGGCCCAGCAGCAGUGGCAGCAAUGGCCUCCCUAGUUCCGUGGCAUGCUUCUCUCUCUGUCUGGACGUCCUCAUUCUACCCAUUUGGGAGAAUGGGUAGAAACUUUUUCAGCUUCUCAACAACUCUGUGAGCUCCCCCGGCAUCAUUUCACUAAAUUCCUUUUCAGCUUGAAGCACCUGGACUCCGGCUCUGUUGCCCACAUCCCAGCAUCCUGCCUGACACGGUUGACUGACACACACCAGCGGCUGUGCACUGCCCUCUGCGGUCACUGCCUUCACAACGAGCUCCCCGUGACUUGAGCUCUCUGAGGGGGAUUCCGGCCUUUGCAACUGACCGGUCCUGGCUGCAGACAACCCAGGCUUUCCAAACCCUGAGGCCGUACCAGGAGGGCACUGUGGCUGCAGGUGGACCCUGGUUCUGGAACAAUCACCGCUGUCCUGGGGACGGCGGCCAGGCCUGCUGUCACAGUGUGGUUCAGUCUUGAUCUAUCCAGAUGAGGUUUUUAUCACAUUUCCUCAUUAUUAAGAAUUAGCUCUGUGUCAUUAGCACACCACGCUAUGAACUCAAAUCUGUCCCACCAUCUGGAGGGACGCUCCAAGCUCACGGCACGGAGCCCAGACGGACGCUGUUAGGAGAGCUGUGAGCAGAGACCCGCUGAGGCGGGGAGAGCCAGAGAGGGAAACAGAGAGACAGAGACAGACAGAGAAAGAGAGCGAGGCAGAGACAGAGUGGGAUCCACUGGCCACAUGGCCAUUUAGUAGAUGUGGACACUGAGUCCCACAAGAGGUGACGGGCCCAGCAGGCUGCAGGCUGGACCUUCCAAAUUCACAGCCUUCCAGGGCAGAUCCCCCGUUUGUGCCUCACCAGCAGCAACCCCCACCCCCUUCGGUGAAGACCACCCAGAUUGCCUUUGGGGAACUAUAAUGCUCUCAUUUGCAUGGCCCCGCCCACAUGUGGCCACAUGACCCAAGCCUGGCCAAUCAGAAUCGCAGGGCUCGGGGAUAAGCACAUAAUCCACUUUCAGCCAGUGGGAGUCCGGUCCGGGAGUUUUGCUGGAACUCCCCAGAAAGUCAUGUUCUUUGCCCCUGGGAGGACCGAGAGCUUAGAAAAUGACCCUGGCACGGGAGACAGUGUUGCGAUGUAGAUGUAGUUCUGCGACAAAUUUUAGAAAGUUGCCUUCAUAUUCCUGCCUCUAAAAUAUACUCAGAUAUUAACCAUGAAGUGGCCAAAAUGCAAUGUCAUUUUUUUCUCAUUGAUGGUUUCCUAUUGGAUAAAGUGGGUAAUUACGUUUUUCAAAAUACACUAUGCAUUUUUCUCUGAGACUCAAUAACCAAUAGAAAGUAGUGGUCAGGAGCAAGGACCCUGGAGCCAGCAGCCCACCUGGGUUUGAGCCCAGCCCCAGCACUUCCCAGCUGCGGGACCUUGGGCAGCUGGCCCAGACUUCGUGCCUCGAUUUCUUCAUCUAUAAAACAGGGGAAAUGCUGGCGCUCACCUCAGGGACCCGACAGGAAGAUUAGGUGAGCUAUUGCAUUGUGAUGUGAUG
Equus caballus (horse) is the source of this 4819-nucleotide long non-coding RNA. The record is from Ensembl. Lineage: Eukaryota; Metazoa; Chordata; Mammalia; Perissodactyla; Equidae.